Molecule: long non-coding RNA, 2710 nt
Organism: Piliocolobus tephrosceles (Ugandan red Colobus)
Lineage: Eukaryota; Metazoa; Chordata; Mammalia; Primates; Cercopithecidae
Source: Ensembl
ACACACUAUAAAAUGCACGUAUAUAUAUAUAUAUAUAUAUUUACAUAAUAAAAAUAUGCACAGAACUUGUUACUACUGUAUACUAAAUUUUAAUCUUUUAAAACGUUUUAUUUUUUAAUUUUUGAUUUAGUUUUUUCAUUAUCACAAAGUUAUUAUUUCUUCAUUUUUUAGUUAAUUUUUUUGGUUAAUUUUUUUGGUUAAUUUUUUUUGGUCCAUCCAUUAAUCCAUCCAUUAAUCCAACAUUUGGUCCAUUUUUUAACACCACAUUUUACGCUAUAUUUUCGAUAGAUGUUUCUGUUUUACCUGUUUUUAAUAUGUUCUCCCAUUGGUGGGCUUGUUUUCUCAUUCAGAAAAUGUGUACUAUUAAGUAAAGUAAAGGUGGAAGGACCGGAAGAUAUAAGAGAUAAACUGGAAAAUGGAUUAGUAUGUGUAGAUAAAAUGAAAGAAAUAUCUUCUUACAUUUCGAAAGGCGCGAAUGUUUUUUUAAAAAAAACGUACAAAUAUUUAUCAAUUUUUAUCUUCAUUUUUUGGGUAAUUUUAGUAUUAUUUACUGGUAAAGUAACAGCGUUUAGUUUUCUUCUCGGUUGUUUGACAUCUGUAUUGUGUGGGUUUAUAGGAAUGAAAAUCGCAACGUAUGUUAAUGUGAGGACUAUUAAUGAAACUUGGAAAGGCUUAGAUAAAGGUUUUCAAGUAACAUUAAAUGGAGGGAUCGUGGUUGGUUUAUCAUCAGUUUCGUUGAGUAUACUGUCAAUAUGUAUAUUAAUAUAUUUUUAUAAAAAAUUAUUUGAUAUGGGUAUUGAUAAUGGUUUUGCUGUUCACUUACUUAUAUCUGGGUAUGGACUUGGUGCAUCUAUUAUAGCUUUAUUUUCUAGAGUAGGUGGAGGAAUUUAUACAAAAGCAGUAAAUGUAGGUGCUGAUUUGUCAAGCAAAAAUGAAUAUGGUAUACCAGAACAUGAUAUAAGAAACCCAGCUUGUAUAGCAGAUACUGUAGGGGAUAAUGUCAAUAAUAUAGUUGGAUUAGGAGCUGAUUUAUUUGGAUCUUUAGCAGAAAGUCUAUGUGCAGUUUUAGUCAUAGGAUCUAAUGUAUUAAGUUUAAAACUAAAUAAUAAUUAUUAUAAUAUAAAUAGUUGUAUUUAUUUUCCUUUGUUAUCUUUAAGUAUGAGUAUUUUGGUUGGAAUUAUAACUUAUUUAAUAGUAAUGCAUAUUGUUAAAAUUGUAGAGAAAAAAGAUGUCGAAAUAGCAUUAAGGUCUUUUAUUAUGUUAUCAAUUAUAAUACAAUCUAUUGUUAUGAUUAUUUUAGGAUAUAUGUGUAUACCAAAAAUAUUAAGAUAUAAUAUUAUUAAAGAAAUACAAAGAUGGAAAAUAAUUUUGCCUUUUUUAUUAGGAUUAUGGUCAUGCCUACUUAUAUGUUUAACAACAGAGUUUUAUACUUCUCAUAUAUUUAAGCCUGUACAAAACAUUGCUAACAUGCAAAAAAUAUCUGCAGCUACUGGAAUUAUCUAUGGAAUAUCAUUAGGAUAUCAAAGUACACUCAUUCCUAUUAUUUGUUUAAGUAUAACAUUAGGUAUUUCCUAUAAUUUAUGUGAAUUGUAUGGAAUCGCAUUAGCAUCUGUUGGAAUGUUGAGUACGCUAUGUAUGUGCUUAACUAUAGAUGCAUAUGGUCCUAUGUCAGAUAAUGCUGAUGGUAUUUCUGGAAUGGCAGGGUUACCUCUUGAAGUAAAAACAAAAACGAGCAUGCUCGAUGAAAUAAGCAAUACUACUAUAUCUAUUGGAAAAGGUUAUUCUAUAGGAUCUGCUACUUUAACUGCUUUUGCAUUAUUAAGUGCAUAUGCAAGUGUUGCUCAAUUACGUCAGCUUAAUAUCCUAAACUCUUGGGUACUUAUGGGAAUACUUAUAGGAGCUAUGUUACCAUAUAUAUAUACUGCUUUAACUAUUAAAUCGGUUACAAUUGCUGCUGAUAAUGUAUUAACUGAAUGUUUAUUACAGCUACCAUUAAUUUUAUCUAAUAGACAAAAACCAGACUAUGAAAAAUGUAUAGAGCAUGCAACUGAUGUAUCCUUAAGAAUGUUAAUUAUACCAGGUUUAUUAUCUAUUUUUGUACCUUUACUAGUUGGAUUUUUAUUUGGUAAAUAUGCUCUUGCUGGUCUUUUAAUAGGUAUAAUUUUAUCAGGAACGAUGUUAGCUUUUGCAUCAACUCAUGCAGGCAGUGCAUGGGAAAAUGCAAAAAAGUAUAUAGAGUCAGGUGGUUUAGGUACUGAAUUUUCAAAAGGGUCAGAUGCUCAUAAGAAUGCUAUCAUCGGAAAUGUUGUUGGAAGUCCAUUAAAAGAUACAUCAGGCCCUUCUUUAAAUAUUCUUAUCAAAUUGUCUGCCAUUACUUCGCUUGUUUUUGCACAUUAUAUUUCUUCUAAUUUUACAUCAAAGUUGGGAGGCUCCGUUUUUUUCUGAGCAAAGGAUACGUGUGCUUGUAUCCGUGUGUAGAUAGGGUUUUUAUUUUUCAUUUUUAACGACUAAAAUGAACGAAAAGGAACCAAAAUGAACGAAAAGGAACCAAAGUGAACAAAAGUGAACAAAAGUGAACAAAAGUGAACCGAAGUGAACAAAAGUGAACCAAAGUGAACAAAAGUGAACCAAAGUGAACAAAAGUGAACCAAAGUGAACCAAAGUGAACCAAAGUGAACCAAAGUGAAUAAAAGUGAACAUAAGUGAACCA